UUCGUGUCCUCUCGGGGCUCCAAUCCCGAUGCUUCGUCUCCUCUCGGGGCUCCAAUCCCGAUGCUUCGUCUCCUCUCGGGGCUCCAAUCCCGAUGCUUCGUGUCCUCUCGGGGCUCCAAUCCCGAUGCUUCGUCUCCUCUCGGGGCUCCAAUCCCGAUGCUUCAUCUCUUCGCACCUGCCCUGGGCGGGUCUGCAGAGCUCCUGGGAACAGGCGGGACUUCCUCGCUUUAAAGGUUGUAAGUUGAGAGCACCUCACCUAACUGUCCAGGGCGGCUCUGACGGGCCUCAGUCUCCCUGCGAUGUCACACAGGAAGCCCAGGACGGGGCGCUCCAGCCGUCCUGGUUAGACCAGAUCACUGCGCCCCGUGGGCUCCCCGUGAGUCCAGCAUCGUUUCCCGCACAGUGGCCCAGGCCGAGUCCCCGUGGGCUGUGACUGGGGGACAGUGGGACUCGGGGUUGGGGGCUCGAGUCAUGGCUUCACUGUCCACUGUGACUGGGGACCCCCAGGGGGAUUUCUGGGGGACAUAUUUUGCCCACUGCACUGGAAUUUUUCUUUCAGAAGAAACGGGGAGGGGGCGCUGCAUCUGCACCCGCAGGGUCCCGCCGGCCUGGAAUUCCAUCCCACCUGCCCCACUGAUCCCGGCCCAUCCCUGUGACCAGGAGAUGCAGUCCAGGGAGUCCCCAGGUCGGGGCCACAUGGCUGCCCUAGGAGCCUGGCCUCAGGGAGGGGUGCUGUGGGGCACCCCUAGGUCCACUGAGGGAAGGGAGGGGACUUCCCCACGGGUAAGUGGGGAUGGAGGGUGCUCUGAAGAACAGGAGACAGAGCCCCACCCCUCUUCGCAGCUGAGCAAAAAAGGCCCUGAACAGUCUCACCUGAACUACUCAUGGCGCCCUUGUCACAUUGGAAUAGAGACAGGGUCCCGCGACCCCGCCAAUGGCAGGAACCUACCCAGAAUCCUCAGUGGCAUGAACAGCAGUGCCCAGCCUCACGUGGUUGUUACAUGAAGAUUACCCGUCACAGUCGAGAGGCACGCUGCUCCAGGCCAUCUUCACAGGACUGCCUCGCUCCCCCUCACAGGGCAAUAGUGUCAAUACAACGGCGUUUUACAGACGCUGGCGCCACCAUUGGCCACGCCAGGAGCAGAGCCGCCCGGGGAAACAGCUCCGUCUUGGUCUCUCCGCUCGCUCAGUCACAAGCGGGAAAACAGCCUCAGCCUGAAUCCUGGGAAGUGAAUCGCUGCAGACGCUGCAGAAACCAGGGCCCGCCGGUCUCAGCUCUGCGGUGCGGUCCCGAGCGACGGACGGACGAAGCCCCUCGGAGUCCAGCAGCCUGGAUGUGACUCCACAGCUCAAGUCCGCACGGACGAAAGGACUUAGUUUUUACCCAGGCGUGAAACAGACCCGGGCUCUGAGCUGCUGCGGGCACAGGACAGACGCCUGGGAGCCUGCAGCGGACACACUCCUGGGGGCCGGAAAGGCUGCCCGGGGAGAGAAUAGAGACAGCAGCCCCCGGACACCAGGACGGACGGCUCCCCCGUGAAGGACUCGCCCCGCGGGCGCCAGGCUCCUGCCCAGCCCGUCCCCACCUCCCGUGGCGCUCUGGGCCCUCCCUGUGGGGUUGCCCCUCCCCACAUUCAGUCCCUGUGGGCCAGGUGGGGGCCUCGCCUUUUUGUGCAUCUGAAUCGUGUGAUCGGGGCCCACAUAGUGAACACACAACCUUCCUAGGACAGCACUCUGUGGGGUCUAAACGCAUGACCUCAUCUGGGCCAGUCAGAGCAACAUCAGGACCAGUGCAGAAGCUACUGGGGAAGUCGCGUGCUCUUUCUUAAGCACAUGUGAGCUGGGAGGUGCUGCAGCAUUGAUGGGGUCACAGCCAGAGGGGAUUCCGGGGCUGCCAGGGGACAGUGUAUGGGCCUGAGAUGGAAGCAACGCAGGAGGGAAGAGCCAGAGUGAGAGAGGACAGAGCAGGAGACAGAGAGAGAGAGAGAAGGAGAGAAUGGGGUGGGGGGAGAGACUGCAGGGGAGAGCAGCAGACAGAGAGAGGAGAGAGAGAGAGAGAUGGAGCAAGAGGGAAAGAACUUCCUGGUCAUGUUUCUAGAGGCCGGAAUGCAGCCAUACCUGGAACCAGCUAGAAUAACCUAGAUUUCUUCACUACGUGAGCCAGCACAUUCCCAGGCAUCUGCUGAUUGGCGUCAGGGUUUCUGCUGCUCCGCAGAGAACUGCCCACCGCUGCCCACCCUGUCCUGACUGUGGACGGCCAAGCCGGGCACUUGUCCACCAGCUGUGACCCCAGCCCUCCUCUCUGGUGACAGCGAGUCUGAAUGGAGCAAAUGAGCGGUCACCCACCAUCAAUUAACUCUAGUGAGCUUUUAUUUUUUUAAAAGUAAAAUAUUCCCAACCUAUGACACUUUGGGAUUUUGAAAAACAUGACUUGUCACACCACAGAAAACCAUGGUGACACAAUGGUGUGCCUCAGUGCAGUGGAGAAGAGCUGAGUGAACCCGGCUCUGGCGCUGGGCUCUGGCGCUGCGGGGAGCAUGUGCUCACCACGAGUCCUGGUCGUCUUCUGGGGGAGAGCCCUGACUUCUCUGAGGAAGCUGCGUGCCCCUCUAUCCUGCUGGUUAGGACAUAAGUGUCCCUGCUGUGCCCGGGGCUGCCUCCAUGGUGACGAUGAUUCCGGAACCUCGGGUGGGGAGGGAGGCUCAGAAGGGCCUGUGCCCUGACACCUGCACCUCCGGGCACCCUGCCUGUGGGUUCGUUUCCAAUCUCCAUCUCUGGCGCCUCCCACCAAGAGCCUGAACCUGCACACCUGGGCUCAGUACCGAGACACGGGCCACGCGGCACCUGCUGGGGCUUCUGGGUUGAGACGGUUGCAGUGGACACCAGGAGUGUCGUGGGUGAUGGCUGUGAAAUGACCCAAGAACGAUUGCUAAAUCCGCUGGUUUAAUCACAUGCAAAGAGCCUUGUCAUUGAACAGGUGGCAGCAGGUGGGGGUUCCCCUCCCCUCCCUGGGAAGGGAGCACAGAGCU
Molecule: non-coding RNA, 3029 nt
Organism: Callithrix jacchus (white-tufted-ear marmoset)
Lineage: Eukaryota; Metazoa; Chordata; Mammalia; Primates; Cebidae
Source: RefSeq, a predicted model, not a curated record